Molecule: ribosomal RNA, 482 nt
Filed under: uncultured bacterium
Lineage: Bacteria
Description: partial 16S ribosomal RNA
Rfam family: Bacterial small subunit ribosomal RNA
Source: RNAcentral
AUUGAACGCUGGCGGCAUGCCUUACACAUGCAAGUCGAACGGUAACGGGCCUUCGGGUGCCGACGAGUGGCGAACGGGUGAGUAAUACAUCGGAACGUGCCCGAUCGUGGGGGAUAACGAGGCGAAAGCUUUGCUAAUACCGCAUACGAUCUACGUAUGAAAGCCGGGGACCGCAAGGCCUUGCGCGGACGGAGCGGCCGAUGGCAGAUUAGGUAGUUGGUGGGAUAAAAGCUUACCAAGCCGACGAUCUGUAGCUGGUCUGAGAGGAUGAUCAGCCACACUGGGACUGAGACACGGCCCAGACUCCUACGGGAGGCAGCAGUGGGGAAUUUUGGACAAUGGGCGCAAGCCUGAUCCAGCCAUGCCGCGUGCAGGAUGAAGGCCUUCGGGUUGUAAACUGCUUUUGUACGGAACGAAAAGCCUUCUUUUAAUACAGGAGGGUCAUGACGGUACCGUAAGAAUAAGCACCGGCUAACUACGUG